GACGAACGCUGGCGGCGUGCUUAACACAUGCAAGUCGAACGGAAAGGCCCUGCUUUUGUGGGGUGCUCGAGUGGCGAACGGGUGAGUAACACGUGAGUAACCUGCCCUUGACUUUGGGAUAACUUCAGGAAACUGGGGCUAAUACCGGAUAGGAGCUCCUGCUGCAUGGUGGGGGUUGGAAAGUUUCGGCGGUUGGGGAUGGACUCGCGGCUUAUCAGCUUGUUGGUGGGGUAGUGGCUUACCAAGGCUUUGACGGGUAGCCGGCCUGAGAGGGUGAUCGGCCACAUUGGGACUGAGAUACGGCCCAGACUCCUACGGGAGGCAGCAGUGGGGAAUAUUGCACAAUGGGCGGAAGCCUGAUGCAGCAACGCCGCGUGCGGGAUGACGGCCUUCGGGUUGUAAACCGCUUUCGCCUGUGACGAGGCGUGAGUGACGGUAAUGGGUAAAGAAGCACCGGCUAACUACGUG
RNAcentral lists this ribosomal RNA (468 nucleotides) under uncultured bacterium. RNAcentral's name for it is "partial 16S ribosomal RNA". It matches the Rfam family "Bacterial small subunit ribosomal RNA", at positions 28 to 507 of the family's 1533-position model. The record is from RNAcentral.